Molecule: ribosomal RNA, 846 nt
Filed under: marine bacterium enrichment culture clone M15-G8-S7
Lineage: Bacteria
Description: bacterial SSU rRNA
Rfam family: Bacterial small subunit ribosomal RNA
Source: RNAcentral
UGAAGCUUGCUUCGGUCCUAGUUAGCGGCGGACGGGUGAGUAACACGUAGGAAUCUGCCUUCAGGCGGGGGACAACGGAACGAAAGUUGCGCUAAUACCCCAUACGAGAGUAAUCUUAAAAGGAGCAAUCCACCUGUUGAUGAGCCUGCGUCCGAUUAGCUAGUUGGUGGGGUAAAGGCCUACCAAGGCUACGAUCGGUAGUUGGUCUGAGAGGAUGAUCAGCCACAAUGGAACUGAGACACGGUCCAUACUCCUACGGGAGGCAGCAGUGGGGAAUUUUACGCAAUGGGCGAAAGCCUGACGUAGCGACACCGCGUGAGCGAAGAAGCCUUUUGGGGUGUAAAGCUCUGUCAGCUGGAACGAACACAAUGACGGUACCAGCAGAGGAAGCAUCGGCUAACUACGUGCCAGCAGCCGCGGUAAGACGUAGGAUGCAAGCGUUGUCCGGAUUUAUUGGGCGUAAAGAGUUCGUAGGCGGUUAGUUAAGUCUGGUGUUAAAUCCCGUGGCCCAACCACGGAGCUGCAUCAGAUACUGGCUGACUUGAGUGCGGUAGAGGCGAGUGGAAUUCCCAGUGUAGCGGUGAAAUGCGUAGAUAUUGGGAAGAACACCAGCGGCGUAAGCGACUCGCUGGGCCGUAACUGACGCUGAGGAACGAAAGCCAGGGGAGCGAAUGGGAUUAGAUACCCCAGUAGUCCUGGCCGUAAACGAUGGAUACUAGGCGCUGCGGGUAUCGACCCCUGCAGUGCCGCAGCUAACGCGAUAAGUAUCCCGCCUGAGUAGUACGGCCGCAAGGUUGAACUCAAAGGAAUUGACGGGGGCCCGCACAAGCGGUGGAACAUGUGGUU